This 495-nucleotide ribosomal RNA is filed under the name uncultured bacterium. Its description in RNAcentral is "partial 16S ribosomal RNA". It matches the Rfam family "Bacterial small subunit ribosomal RNA", at positions 28 to 507 of the family's 1533-position model. The record is from RNAcentral.
GACGAACGCUGGCGGCGUGCCUAAUACAUGCAAGUAGAACGCUGAAGGAGGAGCUUGCUUCUCCGGAUGAGUUGCGCACGGGUGAGUAACGCGUAGGUAACCUGCCUGGUAGCGGGGGAUAACUAUUGGAAACGAUAGCUAAUACCGCAUAAGAGUAGAUGUCGCAUGACAUUUGCUUAAAAGGUGCAACUGCACCACUACCAGAUGGACCUGCGUUGUAUUAGCUAGUUGGUGAGGUAACGGCUCACCAACGCAACGAUACAUAGCCGACCUGAGAGGGGGGUCGGCCAAACUGGGACCGGGACAAGGCCCAGAAUCCUACGGGAGGCAGCCGGAGGGAAUCUUCGGGAAUGGACGGAAGUCUGACCGAGCAACGCCGCGUGAGUGAAGAAGGUUCUCGGAUCGUAAAGCUCUGUUGUAAGAGAAGAACGAGUGUGAGAGUGGAAAGUUCACACUGUGACGGUAUCUUACCAGAAAGGGACGGCUAACUACGUG